RNAcentral lists this ribosomal RNA (292 nucleotides) under uncultured bacterium. RNAcentral describes it as "partial 16S ribosomal RNA". It matches the Rfam family "Bacterial small subunit ribosomal RNA", at positions 505 to 796 of the family's 1533-position model. The record is from RNAcentral.
GUGUCAGCAGCCGCGGUAAUACGUAGGUGGCAAGCGUUGUCCGGAUUUAUUGGGUUUAAAGGGUGCGUAGGUGGUCUUGUAAGUCAGUGGUGAAAUCCGGCAGCUUAACUGUCGAUGUGCCAUUGAUACUGUGAGACUUGAGUACAGACGAGGUAGGCGGAAUUGACGGUGUAGCGGUGAAAUGCUUAGAUAUCGUCAAGAACACCGAUAGCGAAGGCAGCUUACUAGACUGUAACUGACACUGAUGCACGAAAGUGUGGGGAUCAAACAGGAUUAGAAACCCCAGUAGUCC